RNAcentral lists this ribosomal RNA (430 nucleotides) under Pseudomonadota bacterium. RNAcentral describes it as "Proteobacteria bacterium partial 16S ribosomal RNA". It matches the Rfam family "Bacterial small subunit ribosomal RNA", at positions 355 to 776 of the family's 1533-position model. Lineage: Bacteria; Pseudomonadati; Pseudomonadota. The record is from RNAcentral.
UGGGGAAUAUUGGACAAUGGGGGGAACCCUGAUCCAGCCAUGCCGCGUGUGUGAAGAAGGCCUUAUGGUUGUAAAGCACUUUAAGCGAGGAGGAGGGUACUGGUAUUAAUACUACCAGGUACUGGACGUUACUCGCAGAAUAAGCACCGGCUAACUCUGUGCCAGCAGCCGCGGUAAUACAGAGGGUGCGAGCGUUAAUCGGAUUUACUGGGCGUAAAGCGUGCGUAGGCGGCUAAUUGAGUCGGAUGUGAAAUCCCCGAGCUUAACUUGGGAAGUGCAUUCGAUACUGGUUAGCUAGAGUGUCGGAGAGGAUGGUAGAAUUCCAGGUGUAGCGGUGAAAUGCGUAGAGAUCUGGAGGAAUACCGAUGGCGAAGGCAGCCAUCUGGCCUAACACUGACGCUGAGGUACGAAAGCAUGGGGAGCAAACAGG